GGGAGAAAGCAGGGGACCUUCGGGCCUUGCGCUAUCAGAUGAGCCUAGGUCGGAUUAGCUAGUUGGUGAGGUAAUGGCUCACCAAGGCGACGAUCCGUAACUGGUCUGAGAGGAUGAUCAGUCACACUGGAACUGAGACACGGUCCAGACUCCUACGGGAGGCAGCAGUGGGGAAUAUUGGACAAUGGGCGAAAGCCUGAUCCAGCCAUGCCGCGUGUGUGAAGAAGGUCUUCGGAUUGUAAAGCACUUUAAGUUGGGAGGAAGGGCAGUUACCUAAUACGUAAUUGUUUUGACGUUACCGACAGAAUAAGCACCGGCUAACUCUGUGCCAGCAGCCGCGGUAAUACAGAGGGUGCAAGCGUUAAUCGGAAUUACUGGGCGUAAAGCGCGCGUAGGUGGUUUGUUAAGUUGGAUGUGAAAUCCCCGGGCUCAACCUGGGAACUGCAUUCAAAACUGACUGACUAGAGUAUGGUAGAGGGUGGUGGAAUUUCCUGUGUAGCGGUGAAAUGCGUAGAUAUAGGAAGGAACACCAGUGGCGAAGGCGACCACCUGGACUAAUACUGACACUGAGGUGCGAAA
This 579-nucleotide ribosomal RNA is filed under the name Pseudomonas sp. 1H3. RNAcentral's name for it is "bacterial SSU rRNA". It matches the Rfam family "Bacterial small subunit ribosomal RNA", at positions 198 to 758 of the family's 1533-position model. The record is from RNAcentral. Lineage: Bacteria; Pseudomonadati; Pseudomonadota; Gammaproteobacteria; Pseudomonadales; Pseudomonadaceae.